AUACGGAGGGUCCAAGCGUUAUCCGGAAUCAUUGGGUUUAAAGGGUGCGCAGGCGGUUUAUUAAGUCAGUGGUGAAAUCUCGGGGCUCAACCUCGAAACUGCCAUUGAUACUGAUAAACUUGAGUUCAGUUGGAGUAGGCGGAAUGUGUAGUGUAGCGGUGAAAUGCUUAGAUAUUACACAGAACACCGAUAGCGAAGGCAGCUUACUAAACCGAUACUGACGCUGAGGCACGGAAGCGUGGGGGGCGAACAGGAUUAGAAACCCUAGUAGUCC
Molecule: ribosomal RNA, 274 nt
Filed under: uncultured bacterium
Lineage: Bacteria
Description: partial 16S ribosomal RNA
Rfam family: Bacterial small subunit ribosomal RNA
Source: RNAcentral